GCUUACGGCCAUACCACCCUGAGCACGCCCGAUCUCGUCUGAUCUCGGAAGCUAAGCAGGGUUGGGCUUGGUUAGUACUCGGAUGUAGACUGCCUGGAAUACCAGGUGCUGUAAGCU
RNAcentral lists this ribosomal RNA (117 nucleotides) under Oreochromis niloticus (Nile tilapia). Lineage: Eukaryota; Metazoa; Chordata; Actinopteri; Cichliformes; Cichlidae. The record is from RNAcentral.